CGGUAAUUCCAGCUCCAAUAGCGUAUACUAAAGUUGUUGCAGUUAAAAAGCUCGUAGUUGGAUUUCUGCGGGGACGGAGCGGCCGGUCGCAACUUGCGACUCGAGCUAGCGCUUUCCCCGCAUCCUGCCGCGAACCGUGCUACCAUUAGCUUGGUGGCGCUGGGGAUCGGCUCGAUUACUUUGAGAAAAAUAGAGUGUUCAAAGCAGGCCACACGCCUUGAAUAAGUUAGCAUGGAAUAACGACUAAGGACUUUGGUUCUUUUCGUUGGUGUUCGGGACUGAAGUAAUGAUUGAUAGGGACAGUUGGGGCGGUCCGUAUUCCAAAGCGAGAGGUGAAAUUCUUAGACCUUCGGAAGACGAACAGCUGCGAAAGCGCUCCGCAAGGAUGUUCCCUUUGAUCAAGAACGAAAGUUGGGGGAUCGAAGACGAUCAGAUACCGUCGUAGUCUCAACUAUAAACUAUACCAGCUAGGGAUCGGCCAACGUUUAAUUUAUCGACUUGGUCGGCACCUUAUGAGAAAUCAAAGCAUCUGGGUUCCGGGGGGAGUAUGGCCGCAAGGCUGAAACUUAAAGGAAUUGACGGAAGGGCACCACCAGCCGUGGAGCCUGUGGCUUAAUUUGACUCAACACGGGAAAACUUACCAGGUCCGGACAUAGUAAGGAUUGACAGAUUGAUAGCUCUUUCUUGAUUCUGUGGGUGGUGGUGCAUGGCCGUUUUUAGUCGGUGGAUGUGAUCUGUCUGCUUAAUUGCGUUAACGGACGAGACCCCAGCCUGCUAAAUAGCGCGGCCGAGCUUUGCUCGGUGCGAGCUUCUUAGAGGGACCAUGAUGCGCGAUAGCACAAGGAAGUUUGGGGCAACAACAGGUCUGUGAUGCCCUUAGAUGUUCUGGGCCGCACACGGGCUACACUGGCGCCUGCAACGAGCAUAUCAGCUGGCCCGAGAGGGUCUUGGCUAAUCUUUGGAACCGGCGCCGUGCUUGGGAUUGACCAUUGCAAUUGUUGGUCAUGCAACGAGGAAUGCCUUGUAAACGCGAGUCAUCAGCUCGCAUUGAAUACGUCCCUGCCCCUUGUACACACCGCCC
This 1081-nucleotide ribosomal RNA is filed under the name uncultured Rhizaria. Its description in RNAcentral is "SSU rRNA". It matches the Rfam family "Eukaryotic small subunit ribosomal RNA", at positions 577 to 1674 of the family's 1831-position model. The record is from RNAcentral.